RNAcentral lists this transfer RNA (88 nucleotides) under Olivibacter domesticus. RNAcentral describes it as "Pseudosphingobacterium domesticum tRNA_Ser_TGA". It matches the Rfam family "tRNA". Rfam says of the family: Transfer RNA (tRNA) molecules are approximately 80 nucleotides in length. Their secondary structure includes four short double-helical elements and three loops (D, anti-codon, and T loops). Lineage: Bacteria; Pseudomonadati; Bacteroidota; Sphingobacteriia; Sphingobacteriales; Sphingobacteriaceae. RNAcentral also lists the same sequence under 10 other names. The record is from RNAcentral.
GGAAAGUUGGCAGAGUGGUCGAAUGCGGCGGUCUUGAAAACCGUUGUCUGUAACAGGACCGGGGGUUCGAAUCCCUCACUUUCCGCCA